ACGAUGGCGAUCCGAAGAACGUCAAUUUUCAUGAUUAUUUCACGACGAAGAUCAUCACAUCAAUGAAUCAAAUAAUACGGACAUGCUUUUGGUAUUAGCAGGGUGCUGGCACCAUAUGCAACAAUACUUUCAUCUGUGAAUACCCACUUGCUAAGCCCACCAUGAACUACGAAGGCCAAUUAAUAUGUAAGGACACCAAUUAACAGACACUUUCCCAUUAUCGUACAUCAUAUACAUGGGUGGUCAAACUUACUGGAUGGUUUAUCAACACUCCCAUGCUCAUGAACAGCCUUUCCCCAGGAAUUUUGCCCUGAAGUAACAUUGCAGUCUAUUGUCUCCAUUCUUUUUACAACCCUGGCAGCCAUGCAGGAUAGAAGCUGAUCAUAUGUUCUUGACAGCAAAUAAUAAUGUCUUGGACAAGUCAAAGAAUUUCCUCCAGUCUUACAGAGAAAUGACAGUUGAUAAAAGAAUGGUGGACACAAAGUAAAAAUGCUCUUCAACAUUUUGUUGAAGAUUUCAGUCUGACUUGGAAUUCAUCUGGCAAUGUUUCUGGUUUUGUAUAUUUGG
Molecule: long non-coding RNA, 567 nt
Organism: Saccostrea cuccullata (small rock oyster)
Lineage: Eukaryota; Metazoa; Mollusca; Bivalvia; Ostreida; Ostreidae
Exons: 4
Source: RefSeq, a predicted model, not a curated record